UACAGGGGGGGCAAGCGUUGUUCGGAAUUACUGGGCGUAAAGGGUUCGUAGGUGGCCACUUAAGUCAGACGUGAAAUCCCUCAGCUUAACUGGGGAACUGCGUCUGAUACUGAGUGGCUUGAGUGCAGGAGAGGAAUGCGGAAUUCCAGGUGUAGCGGUGAAAUGCGUAGAUAUCUGGAGGAACACCGGUGGCGAAGGCGGCAUUCUGGACCAACACUGACGCUGAGGCGCGAAAGCUAGGGGAGCAAACGGG
RNAcentral lists this ribosomal RNA (253 nucleotides) under uncultured bacterium. RNAcentral's name for it is "partial 16S ribosomal RNA". It matches the Rfam family "Bacterial small subunit ribosomal RNA", at positions 524 to 776 of the family's 1533-position model. The record is from RNAcentral.